UACCAUGCAGUAUGACGCUGCCACUAUCGGUAAUCAUGAGUUCGAUCAUGGCUGGGACAAUACAUUGUUGCAACUGAGCCGAGCAAAAUUCCCUAUCGUGCAGGGCAAUAUUUUUUAUGAGGACAGCAGUAAAUCCUUCUGGGAUAAGCCGUACACCAUUGUUGAAAAAGAUGGCGUCAAGAUUGGCGUAAUCGGCUUACACGGUGUCUUUGCUUUUAAUGAUACGGUAUCCGCCGCGACGCGCGUGGGCAUUGAGGCACGCGAUGAGAUUAAGUGGCUGCAACGUUACAUUGAUGAACUUAAAGGUAAAGUCGAUCUGACCGUCGCGCUGAUCCACGAAGGCACCCCGGCCCGCCAGUCCAGCAUGGGGAAUACCGAUGUGCGACGCGCGCUGGAUAAAGAUAUUCAGACCGCAAGUCAGGUAAAAGGGCUGGAUAUUUUGAUUACCGGCCACGCGCAUGUCGGUACGCCGGAACCGAUUAAAGUCGGUAAUACGCUGAUUCUUUCAACGGACAGCGGCGGCAUUGAUGUCGGCAAAUUGGUGCUGGACUACCAGGAAAAGCCGCAUCAGUUUACCGUGAAGAACUUCGAGCUGAAGACCAUUUUUGCUGAUGAGUGGAAGCCAGAUCCGCAAACGAAACAGGUGAUCGACGGCUGGAACAAAAAGCUCGAUAAAGUCGUGCAGCAAACGGUGGCGCAGUCGCCGGUUGAGCUGACCCGCGCGUAUGGCGAAUCGUCGUCGCUGGGGAAUCUGGCGGCGGAUGCGCUGCUUUUUACGGCGGGGAAAGACACCCAGUUAGCGCUUACUAACUCUGGCGGUAUCCGCAACGAAAUCCCGGCUGGCGCGGUGACGAUGGGGGCGGUAAUCAGUACCUUCCCGUUCCCUAAUGAACUGGUCACGAUGGAUUUAACCGGUAAACAAUUGCGCAGCCUGAUGGAGCAUGGCGCUGGCUUAAGCAACGGCGUAUUGCAGGUGUCUAAAGGGCUGGAGAUGAAGUAUGACAGCAGCAAACCUGUCGGCCAGCGGGUUACCGUGCUGACGCUCAAUGGCAAGCCGAUUGAUGAUGCGGCGGUUUAUCACAUCGCUACCAACAGCUUCCUUGCCGACGGCGGCGACGGUUUUGCGGCAUUCACGGAAGGCCAGGCGCGGAAUACCUCCGGCGGCUACUAUGUGUCGAAUGCGAUAGUCGAUUACUUUAAGGCGGGCAACACCAUCACGGAUGAGCAGCUCAAAGGAAUGCGCGUUGCGGAUGUGAAGAAGUAAGGGGUUACUUGCCUGUGCGCAAUGGCCUUUAGCGCAUUCAGGCCGGACGGCGGUAUGUCUGGCCUGGAUCAUUCGUGGACCGCGGAUAUCAACCGUCUGGCGUAGCGCCUGCAAUUUUGCCGGGUUACGCGCUGUGUUCCCGGCAUGUUCCUGCUGAAAUUUACCCCUCUAUCCGGUGGUCUGCGUCCUGCGUAAAAAGUGGCGGGGUGCGGGGGAAACUUUCCCUGCGAAAAUCAUCGCAUGAUGAAUUUUCGGGGGAACCGCAUGAUAAACAACGAUCCGCUUUUUGAUCUGCUUAACAAAGAGCAACAGCGCCAGCAGCACUCGCUGGAACUGAUUGCCUCGGAGAAUUUCGCCAGCCCUGCCGUUCUUGCGGCACAAGGGUCGGUGUUAACCAAUAAAUACGCCGAAGGCUAUUACCAGCACCGCUACUACGGCGGCUGUAAGUUCAUUGAUGAGGUUGAGAUGCUGGCGAUAACCCGCGCGCAGCAACUUUUCGGCGCGCGUUACGUUAACGUGCAGCCUCACUCCGGCAGCCAGGCGAAUCAGGCGGUAUAUCUGGCGCUGCUGAAACCCGGCGACAAAAUUCUGGGCAUGAGCCUGCAAUGCGGCGGCCAUCUCACUCACGGUUCGCCGGUCAAUCAAUCCGGUAAAUGGUUUAACGCCUUUCAUUAUGGCGUCGAUGCGCAUAGCGGUCUUAUUGAUAUGGAUGAGGUUGAGACGAUCGCGAAGCGUGAGCGCCCGCGGCUGAUUAUCGCCGGGGGAUCGGCCUACCCACGACACUAUGAUUUUGCCCGCUUUCGCCGCAUUGCCGAUGCCGUCGGCGCGAUACUGCUGGUGGAUAUGGCGCAUUUUGCCGGGCUGGUGGCGGGCGGCUGUUUCCCCUCGCCGCUGGCGUAUGCCGAUGUGAUUACCACCACCACGCAUAAAACGUUGCGCGGGCCGCGUGGCGGCAUGAUUCUGGCCAACGACGCCCGGCUGGCGAAAAAAAUCGACAGCGCCAUCUUUCCCGGCUUGCAGGGCGGGCCGUUGAUGCACGUUAUCGCGGCUAAAGCGGUGGCGCUUGGCGAAGCGCUACAGCCUGAAUUUAAACGUUACGCCGGGCAGGUAAUCGAAAAUGCGCAAGCGAUGUGUCAGCAACUGGCGCAGCGCGGCCUGACGCUGUUAACGGGCGGUACCGACUGCCAUCUGGGCAUUAUCGACCUGCGCCCGCAGGGGUUAACCGGCGCCCAGGUGGAAUACUUUCUCGAACUGGCGGGGAUCACGGUCAAUAAAAACACGCUGCCAGGCGAUCCGCAGCCGCCGUCGAUUACCUCCGGGAUUCGCAUUGGCAGCGCAGCCUGCGCCACCCGCGGAAUGAAUGCCGAUGAUUUUACGCUGAUCGCGGACUGGAUCAGUGAAAUUAUUUUUGCCAUCAAGACGCCGAAUAUUACAGAUAUUUGCGCCGAUAUUCGGCAAAAAGUGACUAAAUUAACCACCAACUAUCCGUUGCCUUACCAAUGAUGAAACUUGCUGAAAUUCAGGCGGCGUGCGGCGUUCUUUGUGUAGAUCUCGCCGCUGUCGUUGACAAUUAUCAAACGCUGGCGCGCCAUGUCGCCCCCGCGCAAUGCGGCGCAGUACUGAAAGCCAAUGGCUAUGGU
This 2904-nucleotide ribosomal RNA is filed under the name Salmonella sp. FORC89. RNAcentral's name for it is "23S ribosomal RNA". Lineage: Bacteria; Pseudomonadati; Pseudomonadota; Gammaproteobacteria; Enterobacterales; Enterobacteriaceae. The record is from RNAcentral.